This 468-nucleotide ribosomal RNA is filed under the name uncultured bacterium. RNAcentral describes it as "partial 16S ribosomal RNA". It matches the Rfam family "Bacterial small subunit ribosomal RNA", at positions 28 to 507 of the family's 1533-position model. The record is from RNAcentral.
GACGAACGCUGGCGGCGUGCUUAACACAUGCAAGUCGAACGGAAAGGCCCUGCUUUUGUGGGGUGCUCGAGUGGCGAACGGGUGAGUAACACGUGAGUAACCUGCCCUUGACUUUGGGAUAACUUCAGGAAACUGGGGCUAAUACCGGAUAGGAGCUCCUGCUGCAUGGUGGGGGUUGGUAAGUUUCGGCGGCUGGGGAUGGACUCGCGGCUUAUCAGCUUGUUGGUGGGGUAGUGGCUUACCAAGGCUUUGACGGGUAGCCGGCCUGAGAGGGUGACCGGCCACAUUGGGACUGAGAUACGGCCCAGACUCCUACGGGAGGCAGCAGUGGGGAAUAUUGCACAAUGGGCGGAAGCCUGAUGCAGCAACGCCGCGUGCGGGAUGACGGCCUUCGGGUUGUAAACCGCUUUCGCCUGUGACGAAGCGUGAGUGACGGUAAUGGGUAAAGAAGCACCGGCUAACUACGUG